This is a long non-coding RNA of Spodoptera litura, 216 nucleotides long. RefSeq lists it as uncharacterized. The record is from RefSeq and is a predicted model, not a curated record. Lineage: Eukaryota; Metazoa; Arthropoda; Insecta; Lepidoptera; Noctuidae.
AAACACGCUUUAGGACAGUAGCAACAUUCGCAAGAUUGCCAUCCAUCAUAAUUCCGUUUUGAAAUUUCUUUUACGUCGCAUGUGCGCGAACAAAAUAUUGUCUGUUAGCACACUGGUCCAAAAAAUAUCCCAACUUUGUUACCCAACAAACGCAGCUCCGAAUUAAAUACGCCUCUACUAACCCCGGCUGAAAAAAUGUGGCGGUAUCGAGAAAGA